GCAGCCGCAAAAUCGGUUGCCGGGAUUUGCACCCCGGAUAUCUAAAAGGCGACAACGACGCGCCAGCGUCUUUUUU
This 76-nucleotide small RNA is filed under the name Escherichia coli. RNAcentral's name for it is "isrK Hfq binding RNA". It matches the Rfam family "isrK Hfq binding RNA". Lineage: Bacteria; Pseudomonadati; Pseudomonadota; Gammaproteobacteria; Enterobacterales; Enterobacteriaceae. RNAcentral also lists the same sequence under 1 other name. The record is from RNAcentral.